Molecule: long non-coding RNA, 710 nt
Organism: Triticum dicoccoides
Lineage: Eukaryota; Viridiplantae; Streptophyta; Magnoliopsida; Poales; Poaceae
Exons: 3
Source: RefSeq, a predicted model, not a curated record
UAAGUCUACAAGAAUACACAGAAGGAAAUACUUGGUAGCUACUUUCACUCGUGAUUUUGGCCGAUUUAGAGUUGGUUUUCGAAGAUGGUGAAGUUGAAGAAAAGAUAGAUUAAGGUAAGAUCUAUCCAUUUUUGUUGGUUUUGUUUGCAUGCAUGAUGUUUUUGUUCUGUUUGAUUAGUUCCUAAGUGUGUACUCUAUGUUGUUUUAGGCAUUAUUUCAGCACUUGGAGGAGUCAUUUGGAGUUUCUGGAGUAGGAUUUGCCGUGCUAAGUGAAGUACGAAGGGGGAGAUCAAGGUUGACUCUGUUCAUAUAUUACUGGUGACGGAUAUUUAUUCGAACUAUUUGGACGCUUAAUUGCAUUUGCAAGCACAUCCAUAUUGGACCUAAGGUUAUGGGUGAAGUGCCAGUGCUUUUGCAGGGGCCCCAUGACGCCGGGCACCGUUGCCACCUAUUUUUGAAACCAAAUACUAAGCAUGAUUAUCGGCCUUUCAGACUUCGAACCAUAAAGAAAACAUGGCCAAUACACAAUCAUUUCCUUGCUCACCUUGACGCUUAUGGACUACAAGGUUUUGCUAGGCUCACAUCAUGCGACGACCAAGUACGUUCGGACCCAUCCCUUUUGACAUCCCUCGUUGACCGGUGGAGACCUGAAACCCACACCUUUCACUUUCGUUUUGGGGAGCUUGCACCUACACUGAAAGAUGUUUCUA